Molecule: ribosomal RNA, 194 nt
Filed under: Hypocreales sp.
Lineage: Eukaryota; Fungi; Ascomycota; Sordariomycetes; Hypocreales
Description: partial large subunit ribosomal RNA
Rfam family: Eukaryotic large subunit ribosomal RNA
Source: RNAcentral
AGUAACGGCGAGUGAAGCGGCAACAGCUCAAAUUUGAAAUCUGGCCCUCGGGUCAGAAUUGUAAUUGAAUGUUGAUGAUCGUUGUGAGGUACCUAACGAGUUAACGAAAGCGGGACGCCAUAAAGGGUAAGAAACCCGUCUGGUUGGAAACCGAGAAAAAAAAAAGAUCCUUCGACGAGUCGAGGGGUUUGGGA